This 845-nucleotide long non-coding RNA is filed under the name Linum usitatissimum (flax). RNAcentral's name for it is "long non-coding RNA (LUSI_LNC003805)". The record is from RNAcentral. Lineage: Eukaryota; Viridiplantae; Streptophyta; Magnoliopsida; Malpighiales; Linaceae.
UCAUAAUAUUAGAAAUUCUCCGAAAUCACCCAAAAUCAUUCAUUCAGACAAGUUUGCCCUUGGUUUAUACGCAGACACGUAAGCCUGUGGGGUAAUCAGAAUGACACCCACCAACUGAAACACUUCCUCUCUCUUCCCAUUUCCGCUUUAACGCAAAUACACGGGGAGACGGUUUUAUCGUCGAGCUCCACAAAAUUCGAAGACUAGGGCAGAUUGGCGGAAUCUUCCUUUCUUCCUAGAUCAAUCGACAACGACGGUAUGUUCUUCAAUCGUCGAAAUCCACUACUGUUUUUCUUCUGUCGCAAAGAUUCUAUCCGAUUUGUUUUGAACCUAAUCUCUAUCGCUGUUUUCAUUCCGAUUUCAUAGAUUCGAAUCUGUUCCGACCGACGAGUGAUUGACUGUUGGGGUUAAAAUAACUCGGUUGUACAUAUUCCUUCUUCUUUGGUUCCAUUCUCGGGGCUGACGAAGAAGCAGGUUUGCUUCCGUCAACCGGAGCUGAGCUCUUCUGAGGCGACAAUUUGGAGUUGGAAUGGGAAGAUCAAAGAUGGAUUGAGAGUGGGUUUCAGAUUAACAGGUUGAGAAAAACGAGCAUAAUUGUAGAAUUAGGCUCUAUAAUUUUGCUCUUUAGAUUCUGGUUUUUAGAUUCAUUGAAUCAGAGAGGAAAGGAAGAGAAAGAGGAAAAUGAUAGAGCGGAGAGAGUCAUGAAAAUGAUAUUUUUAUAAUUGGAUAAAUUUCACUUAAUAUUUAUAAUUUUUUAUUCAAUAUUAAUUUCAUCCAAUAUCGUAAUAUUUCAAAUAUCAUAAUAUUCGAGAUAUCACAUACCAAACAACAAAACUUUAACAAAA